Molecule: long non-coding RNA, 745 nt
Organism: Astatotilapia calliptera (eastern happy)
Lineage: Eukaryota; Metazoa; Chordata; Actinopteri; Cichliformes; Cichlidae
Source: Ensembl
GAGAACAUGGCGGUGGAAAAGAAGCUGCAGGCUCUGACAGAGAGCCUGGAGGAGACGGAGGCUCAGCUCAGUGCGGUGCUUUCAGCCUCCAACAUGGACCAAACAGCCCUCAGCAGGGUCAUAAAGAAAACUGAGGCACAUAUUGACUCCAAAAAUACUGCCAUCAAGACCCUACAGCACAAAAUAAAUCAAAUUUCCAUGGUCCGCAAGCAUUUGCUGCUGCACACUGAGGUAAAGGCAAAGGCUCUUGGUGUUCCUGUGGAAGCUCCUUUGUAAUUCCCAAUGAGAGGAAUCCUCAUGGUAAAAAUGUGGAGCAGCACUUGGAUUAAAGUGAGAAGCAAAGAUCGGAACACUAUUAUUUCAUUUACAUCUUUUCUGUAAUCUACCUUUAAUGCUCAUAUGACUUUAAGUAGUAAAGAAAUAUAAAUCAAAAUUUAAAAUGGGAUCUCUUAAUCCUGAGGGGGGGGGGGAAAAAAAAAAAAAAAAAAAAAGUUGUGUUGUUUUAGACUAAAGGGUAUGUCAUGCCUCUAUCUGUAGCAUCCUCUGUCACACCAACCCUCAGCAUGUCCUCCUUCAUGACCUCCAUGAAUUUCUCUGUGGCCUUUCUCCUUUAGGCCUGCGUGUCAUCUCCAUAUUUGACAUCCUUUGUCCAGUAUGUCGUCUCUGAAGGGAGCAACUGAAAGAUGAAGAUACUUCAUUGGUCAUUGUCAGGUGUUUUUAAUGACAGUCAAUAGGUGGCGCUAUU